UACGAAGGGGGCUAGCGUUGCUCGGAAUCACUGGGCGUAAAGCGCACGUAGGCGGAUCCUUAAGUCGGGGGUGAAAUCCUGGAGCUCAACUCCAGAACUGCCUUCGAUACUGAGGAUCUCGAGUCCGGGAGAGGUGAGUGGAACUGCGAGUGUAGAGGUGAAAUUCGUAGAUAUUCGCAAGAACACCAGUGGCGAAGGCGGCUCACUGGCCCGGUACCGACGCUGAGGUGCGAAAGCGUGGGGAGCAAACAGG
This 253-nucleotide ribosomal RNA is filed under the name uncultured bacterium. RNAcentral describes it as "partial 16S ribosomal RNA". It matches the Rfam family "Bacterial small subunit ribosomal RNA", at positions 524 to 776 of the family's 1533-position model. The record is from RNAcentral.